Long non-coding RNA from Felis catus (domestic cat), 1103 nucleotides. RefSeq lists it as uncharacterized. The record is from RefSeq and is a predicted model, not a curated record. The transcript has 2 exons. Lineage: Eukaryota; Metazoa; Chordata; Mammalia; Carnivora; Felidae.
GAGGUGAAGAAAGGAAAAGGGAGGCCACCAUGCCUGACCUCCCCAGGGCCAUAUGGAAUAUAGGAGGAGUUUCUCCCAUGGGAAAGUGGUGCUUGAUUGCAGAAGAGAAAUGGGAAAAAUGGCGGGAUAUAUCAAAACACUGACAAAACAAUAUCAUAAUUGGCAGAAAACUAUGAGAAACCACUGAAGGGCUGUAUACAAGUGAAAAACAAGGGUCUUCUUACAUCACCAUUUGGGACCAGAAGACUCUUUACCAGUGUGAUUUUAAUGUGCUGUAUUACAAAAAACUUCCAAAUUGCCAAGCAGAGAAUGACAAGAGUAAGAUCCAUUUAAAGAAAAAAAAAACUUUUAUAAACAUAUUGCUUAGGUAUGUCACAUCGCACUUAACGUGAUCUAAUGGGAAAUAUCCAGAGCUUUGAAACCUAUACCACUCCAUAACUUAAGCUCUAACUUCCAAAGAAAAGCAAGCAAAGGCUUGACCUGAUGAUCUGGAAAAUUUUACUCUGAAGUUAAAUUUUUCAAAAGGAGGAAAGCAUCUGGGCUUUAAAAAAUAAUGCCUUCUUGAACUAACAGCACCUUGAAUUAGUAUUUCAAAAUAUGAAAUUUUCAACCAUAUUUAGUCAAUUUUUCUCUUAUAUUCCCUGGGACAGAAGGUAGCAUAAGGCAAGUACCCAUUGUUAGCUCUAAUUAUUACACUGCAGGAAGUUCUCUGCAAAAGGUGUGGAUAGAUUAAAUAUGAAUGAAAUAAGUGCUGAAGAAACAUGAGAAAGAGAGGGACCAACUGAUGGUGGCAAGGUGUCUUAGGUCCACAGAGCAUUUUAUUCAUUCAUCGGUACAUCACAAUGAUGGAGAUGAAAUCUGAGAGGUAGUGAUGAAAAGCAAGGACUUGACUUACUAUGUUUUAGCUGAGAUCUGUCACUUAUUACAACUGUGACCUCAAGCAAAUUACCUAAACUCUCUGCACCUCUGCUUUUUCAUGUAGAAAAAGGGAAUAAAAAUUACAUGAAAAGUGUGCAAUUAAAAAAAAAAUCCUGGCAGCCUACUGAAAUAAGGGUCAGAGCCAGAUUUAAAUUGCACUGAGGUAAUAAAGAAAUGUGAAUUUU